Molecule: ribosomal RNA, 253 nt
Filed under: uncultured bacterium
Lineage: Bacteria
Description: partial 16S ribosomal RNA
Rfam family: Bacterial small subunit ribosomal RNA
Source: RNAcentral
AACGAGUGCCCCAAGCGUUAUCCGGAAUUACUGGGCAUAAAGGGUGCGUAGGUGGUCUGAUUAGUCGUUUGUUAAAACUCCCGGCCUAACCGGGAAGGUAUGGACGAAACGGUCAGACUAGAGAGAGUGAGAGGUUAGCAGAACUCAUGGUGUAGGGGUGAAAUCCGUUGAUAUCAUGGGGAAUACCAAAGGCGAAGGCAGCUAACUGGCGCUUAUCUGACACUCCAGCACGAAAGCGUGGGUAGCGAAUGGG